GAUUAAGAACGUAGCGAAAUGCGAUAAGUAAUGUGAAUUGCAGAAUUCAGUGAAUCAUCGAAUCUUUGAACGCACAUUGCGCCCGCCAGUAUUCUGGCGGGCAUGCCUGUUCGAGCGUCAUUACAACCCUCAGGCCCCCGGGCCUGGCGUUGGGGAUCGGCGGAGCCCCCCGUGGGCACACGCCGUCCCCCAAAUGCAGUGGCGGUCCCGCCGCAGCUUCCAUCGCGUAGUAGCUAACACCUCGCGACUGGAGAGCGGCGCGGCCACGCCGUAAAACACCCAACUCUUCUGAAGUUGACCUCGAAUCAGGUAGGAAUACCCGCUGAACUUAAGCAUAUCAAUAAGCGGAGGA
RNAcentral lists this unclassified non-coding RNA (352 nucleotides) under soil metagenome. RNAcentral describes it as "partial contains 5.8S ribosomal RNA, internal transcribed spacer 2, and large subunit ribosomal RNA". The stretch from base 1 to 120 matches the Rfam family "5.8S ribosomal RNA", at positions 35 to 154 of the family's 154-position model. The record is from RNAcentral.